CCUANGGGUGGCUGCAGUGGGGAAUCUUGCGCAAUGGGCGAAAGCCUGACGCAGCGACGCCGCGUGGGGGAUGAAUGCCUUCGGGUUGUAAACCCCUUUCGGCAGGGACGAAGCGAUUGUGACGGUACCUGCAGAAGAAGCUCCGGCUAACUACGUGCCAGCAGCCGCGGUAAGACGUAGGGAGCGAGCGUUGUCCGGAUUCAUUGGGCGUAAAGAGCGCGUAGGCGGUUUGGUAAGUCGGAUGUGAAAACACGAGGCUCAACCUCGUGCGUGCAUCCGAAACUGCCCGACUAGAGGUAGGUAGGGGAGAUCGGAAUUCCUGGUGUAGCGGUGGAAUGCGCAGAUAUCAGGAGGAACACCGGUGGCGAAGGCGGAUCUCUGGGCCUUACCUGACGCUGAGGCGCGAAAGCUAGGGGAGCGAACAGGAUUAGAUACCCUANUAGUC
Molecule: ribosomal RNA, 445 nt
Filed under: uncultured bacterium
Lineage: Bacteria
Description: bacterial SSU rRNA
Rfam family: Bacterial small subunit ribosomal RNA
Source: RNAcentral